This 460-nucleotide ribosomal RNA is filed under the name uncultured bacterium. RNAcentral's name for it is "partial 16S ribosomal RNA". It matches the Rfam family "Bacterial small subunit ribosomal RNA", at positions 338 to 795 of the family's 1533-position model. The record is from RNAcentral.
CCUACGGGAGGCAGCAGUGAGGAAUAUUGGUCAAUGGGCGCGAGCCUGAACCAGCCACGUAGCGUGAAGGAUGACUGCCCUCCGGGUUGUAAACUUCUUUUAUAAAGGAAUACAGUGAGGCACGUGUGCCUUUUUGUAUGUACUUUAUGAAUACGGAUCGGCUAACUCAGUUCCAGCAGCCGCGGUAAUACGGAGGAUCCGAGCGUUAUCCGGAUUUAUUGGGUUUAAAGGGAGCGUAGAUGGGUUGUUAAGUCAGUUGUGAAAGUUUGCGGCUCAACCGUAAAAUUGCAAUUGAUACUGGCAGCCUAGAGUACAGUUGAGGUAGGCGGAAUUCGGGGUGUAGCGGUGAAAUGCGUAGAUAUCAGGAAGAACUCCGAUUGCGAAGGCAGCUUACUAAACUGCCACUGACAUUGAUGCUCGAAAGUGUGGGUAGCAAACAGGAUUAGAUACCCCAGUAGUC